Molecule: ribosomal RNA, 1527 nt
Filed under: Phocaeicola vulgatus
Lineage: Bacteria; Pseudomonadati; Bacteroidota; Bacteroidia; Bacteroidales; Bacteroidaceae
Description: bacterial SSU rRNA
Rfam family: Bacterial small subunit ribosomal RNA
Source: RNAcentral
ACAAUGAAGAGUUUGAUCCUAGCUCAGGAUGAACGCUAGCUACAGGCUUAACACAUGCAAGUCGAGGGGCAGCAUGGUCUUAGCUUGCUAAGGCCGAUGGCGACCGGCGCACGGGUGAGUAACACGUAUCCAACCUGCCGUCUACUCUUGGAUAGCCUUCUGAAAGGAAGAUUAAUACAAGAUGGCAUCAUGAGUCCGCAUGUUCACAUGAUUAAAGGUAUUCCGGUAGACGAUGGGGAUGCGUUCCAUUAGAUAGUAGGCGGGGUAACGGCCCACCUAGUCUUCGAUGGAUAGGGGUUCUGAGAGGAAGGUCCCCCACAUUGGAACUGAGACACGGUCCAAACUCCUACGGGAGGCAGCAGUGAGGAAUAUUGGUCAAUGGGCGAGAGCCUGAACCAGCCAAGUAGCGUGAAGGAUGACUGCCCUAUGGGUUGUAAACUUCUUUUAUAAAGGAAUAAAGUCGGGUAUGGAUACCCGUUUGCAUGUACUUUAUGAAUAAGGAUCGGCUAACUCCGUGCCAGCAGCCGCGGUAAUACGGAGGAUCCGAGCGUUAUCCGGAUUUAUUGGGUUUAAAGGGAGCGUAGAUGGAUGUUUAAGUCAGUUGUGAAAGUUUGCGGCUCAACCGUAAAAUUGCAGUUGAUACUGGAUAUCUUGAGUGCAGUUGAGGCAGGCGGAAUUCGUGGUGUAGCGGUGAAAUGCUUAGAUAUCACGAAGAACUCCGAUUGCGAAGGCAGCCUGCUAAGCUGCAACUGACAUUGAGGCUCGAAAGUGUGGGUAUCAAACAGGAUUAGAUACCCUGGUAGUCCACACGGUAAACGAUGAAUACUCGCUGUUUGCGAUAUACGGCAAGCGGCCAAGCGAAAGCGUUAAGUAUUCCACCUGGGGAGUACGCCGGCAACGGUGAAACUCAAAGGAAUUGACGGGGGCCCGCACAAGCGGAGGAACAUGUGGUUUAAUUCGAUGAUACGCGAGGAACCUUACCCGGGCUUAAAUUGCAGAUGAAUUACGGUGAAAGCCGUAAGCCGCAAGGCAUCUGUGAAGGUGCUGCAUGGUUGUCGUCAGCUCGUGCCGUGAGGUGUCGGCUUAAGUGCCAUAACGAGCGCAACCCUUGUUGUCAGUUACUAACAGGUCAUGCUGAGGACUCUGACAAGACUGCCAUCGUAAGAUGUGAGGAAGGUGGGGAUGACGUCAAAUCAGCACGGCCCUUACGUCCGGGGCUACACACGUGUUACAAUGGGGGUACAGAGGGCCGCUACCACGCGAGUGGAUGCCAAUCCCCAAAACCUCUCUCAGUUCGGACUGGAGUCUGCAACCCGACUCCACGAAGCUGGAUUCGCUAGUAAUCGCGCAUCAGCCACGGCGCGGUGAAUACGUUCCCGGGCCUUGUACACACCGCCCGUCAAGCCAUGGGAGCCGGGGGUACCUGAAGUGCGUAACCGCGAGGAGCGCCCUAGGGUAAAACUGGUGACUGGGGCUAAGUCGUAACAAGGUAGCCGUACCGGAAGGUGCGGCUGGAACACCUCCUUU